This 240-nucleotide long non-coding RNA is filed under the name Capsella rubella. RNAcentral's name for it is "long non-coding RNA (CRUB_LNC003434)". The record is from RNAcentral. Lineage: Eukaryota; Viridiplantae; Streptophyta; Magnoliopsida; Brassicales; Brassicaceae.
AAAGUUUUAUCUUGUUUAACCAGGUUGUACUUGUACCCUAAAGAUCAGAGACUUGUACUAUUUCUUUAGUUUGAGUUGCAGUUGUCGAGCAGAUUCGUUAGGACGAUCGUAAAUUAAAAAUAUAUUAAUUAUAUGCAUAUUAACAUAUUUAUUUCGUUUUGUGAACAGCACGACGAAGAUAGUGAAAUCACACUGCUAUUAUUAGCCUUUUGUAAUCAUGACCCCUUUUUUUAAUUCAAC